Molecule: long non-coding RNA, 502 nt
Organism: Cyprinus carpio (common carp)
Lineage: Eukaryota; Metazoa; Chordata; Actinopteri; Cypriniformes; Cyprinidae
Source: Ensembl
AUGUUGGCGACGCGCUGCCUCCUCCUGUGGGCUGCGGUCACCGCGCGACUCGCCGUGACAGGCUGGGGCAGCAGCAUCAAGCGGGACGGAGCGGAACGGGGACGCGAACAGAACGCGUAUGCGGAGGAGCUCACGCAGCCUCAGCGGCUGCUGCAGCGGACUGACGCGGAGGAGGAGCUGCCGCACGGACACUUGGGUACUCUAGUAAAGAUUGAUGCUGAUGGAGCGCAUCCCAUUCACUUGGCUCAGAUUUCAUUCCAGGUGACGGCGUUUGGAAUCCCAUUUGUUCUAGACCUGGAGCUCAAUCAGUAUGUUCAAAAUCCCACUUACUAAAAAAAAAAAAAGAUAGAAAAAAAAAACACUGUAUUAUUAACUUUGAAACAAUUCUCACUCAGAAAUAGCUAGAAAAUGUAACAAAUAAUUACAAAGAAAUGGCAAGUAACAGUUUGAUUUAAACAUUACAUUUUAAAGAAAGAAUAAAAUUGUAUUUUCUUGUAAAACA